UACGUAGGCAGCGAGCGUUGUUCGGAAUUACUGGGCGUAAAGAGUGUGUAGGCGGUGCUCUAAGUUCGGUGUGAAAUCUCCUGCUUAACUGGGAGGGUGCGCCGGAAACUGGAGUGCUCGAGCGUGGGAGAGGAAAGCGGAAUUCCUGGUGUAGCGGUGAAAUGCGUAGAUAUCAGGAGGAACACCUGUGGUGUAGACGGCUUUCUGGACCAUAGCUGACGCUGAGACACGAAAGCGUGGGUAGCAAACAGG
Molecule: ribosomal RNA, 252 nt
Filed under: uncultured bacterium
Lineage: Bacteria
Description: partial 16S ribosomal RNA
Rfam family: Bacterial small subunit ribosomal RNA
Source: RNAcentral